CCUACGGGUGGCAGCAGUGAGGAAUAUUGGUCAAUGGACGGAAGUCUGAACCAGCCAUGCCGCGUGCAGGAAGACUGCUCUAUGAGUUGUACACUUCUUUUAUACAAGACUAAACCUAAACACGUGUAUUCUUCUGAAUGUACUUUACGAAUAAGGAUCGGCUAACUCCGUGCCAGCAGCCGCGGUAAUACGGAGGAUCCAAGCGUUAUCCGGAUUUAUUGGGUUUAAAGGGUGCGUAGGCGGGUUGUUAAGUUAGAGGUGAAAUGUUGGAGCUUAACCGGGGAACUGCCGUUAAUACUGUGAAUCUAGAGAAUAGAUGAGGUAGGCGGAAUGUGUGGUGGAGCGGUGAAAUGCUUAGAGAUCAUACAGAA
This 371-nucleotide ribosomal RNA is filed under the name uncultured bacterium. RNAcentral describes it as "partial 16S ribosomal RNA". It matches the Rfam family "Bacterial small subunit ribosomal RNA", at positions 338 to 706 of the family's 1533-position model. The record is from RNAcentral.